This 10284-nucleotide ribosomal RNA is filed under the name Triticum aestivum (bread wheat). RNAcentral describes it as "partial small subunit ribosomal RNA". The record is from RNAcentral. Lineage: Eukaryota; Viridiplantae; Streptophyta; Magnoliopsida; Poales; Poaceae.
AUGUUCGAGGGGGUGGUGAGCCAGGUGCUCGCCGGCCUGCUCGGCCGCUACGUCAAGGGCAUCCAGAAGGAGCAGCUUAAGAUCGGCAUCUGGAACGAGGAAAUAAAUUUGGAAAAUGUAGAGCUCAUUCUGGAAGCCUUUGACUACCUGCAGUUGCCUUUCGCACUCAAGACUGGACGAAUCGGGAAGUUAAGCAUAAAGAUUCCAUGGAAAAAACUUGGAUGGGACCCUAUAAUUAUUGUUAUAGAAGAUGUGUUUGUAUGUGCAUAUCCGCGGGAGGAUUCUGAGUGGGAAUCCGAGUCACUUGGUAAGAGAGAACUAGCUGGAAAAUUGGCUAAACUUAAUGCUAUAGAGCUCGCUAAAUUUUCCAGAAGAGUGACAGAUAACCAAACGGGGCAAUCACUUCUAUCCUACAUGUCAGCAAAGAUACUGGACAAUAUCCAAGUUUCCAUACGAAAUGUUCACAUCAUAUAUGUUGAAUCCCACAACGAUCAGGGGAGCUUCAUAUUUGGUUUGGAACUCAACAGUCUCUCGAUACAAACAGAUACACAGAAGCAAAGUUUUGCCAUGUCAUUGAUGGCUAGGUCCAGACAAGAUGAAGUGAACAAGAAGAUAAAUAUAUCAAAUGUUGGAAUUUACUGUCAACAGUUGGAAGAACAGCAGAAUCUAUAUGAUGUUGGUGCUCUUACUGAUGCUCAGUCUAAUUUCAGUCUCGGGUUGGCCCACCCAAGAGAUGAUUAUCUUAUAAAUCCAUUUUGUGUGACUGUGUCUGUGCUUGCCAACAACUCCGGAAAGCGUGAUGGUGUGCCUCAGUAUGACAUGACUGCAGAACUAACUGCAUUGGUUCUAUCAAUAGAUGAAAUCCAGCUUCAGCAAAUUUUGAAUCUCUGUGAUCACUUCACCAUCUGUGCUCUGCGAACAAAAUAUGGUCGUUACCGCCCGCCUGGGAGCUUUUUAUCUAAGAGACAUAAAGGUUGGCAGAUAAUGUGGUGGCAGUAUGCCAAGGAUUCUAUCAUGGCAGACGUUGAAAGAAGACUGAAGAAAACCUCUUGGAGGUUCUUGGGGAAGCGACUGGAGUGCCGUCGGAAAUAUGUCAAUUUGUACCGAACGAAAUUGGAGCUCUUGCAGAAAGGACAGCUUGUAAGUAAAGACAUUCUACAAAAGCUGGAAACUCUGGACAAAGAAUGUGAUAUAGAUGAUAUAGUUAGCUACAGAACAAUUGCAGAGCAACGACUACAGGAUUUGUCUGUGAAAUCAACAAAAGACAACUUUUGUAGUCCAGGAAGUCCUCGAACUGAUGAGCUGUCAGCAGGGGCAGGCCGAGGAUGGUUAAACUGGCUUUCUCUUGGAAUGCUUGGUGCUGGUGGAACAGCUGACACUAGUUCAUUUGCUGGUGUUGUUUCAGAAGACAUUAUUAAGGAUCUAUACGAGGGAACAGAAUUUCAUCCUGUUUCUUCUGCUGAAAAUCAUCUGACAAAGGAAAACUACUACUCUUUGAGACUAUCUAUUCCUCAAAUACUCACAACUGUCACCUCCAGAAGGUUUGGCAUGAAGCUUAUUGAUGGGAUGUUUACUGGUCUUGGUACUGAAUAUAAAAUAUGGGAUGAUUCAGCAACUAUCCUUGCUUGGCUUGAUUCACUUGAGAUAACUAACCCGUUGAAUAAAAAUAAAGUCUUGCUGGCUCAAAAGUGUAGCACUGGUGAUGGUCUAGGUGCACCUGUUAUCAGUAUUCAAGUAGACUUUCCGAAGUCAAACGAAAACUCAGAAGCUUCAACACGGGUUGUUGUCCAGGAAUUCAAUGUCAUAUACGAACCAGAACUCUUCUUUAAUCUCCUGCACAUCUAUGAUUUGUUUUCCUCUUUCCAAUUCCAGCAUGAUAGGGUGCUUUCCUCGCUAAACCGUUUUGAUAAUUUUGGAACAAGACUUCUUUCCAAACUGGAGUACAUGUCUGUGAACCAAAAGAAACUUCUCUGGGAUUUAAGGAUUCACCAUUUCGUCAUUAAGCUACCAUCAUAUGAUUGUGGAAGAGAACUUACUAUGGUUUUUGAGGCUGAAGAUAUAUCCAUGCGAUCCAAAGAUAGAGUUGGCGAUGAUUCUCAGACACAAGAUAACAAUUAUUUUCUUGACUACAUGUCGAAGAAAACUUCUACUUGUUUUUCUGACAGCCUGCUACCUGGGUUGCAACUGGAUGACCUAUAUAAUCAUUUUGAGGUUAGCCUCACCGGAUUCGAGGUGAAGGUGUUGAUGGCUAGUAGACAUGAUAUAACCUCUACACUGGUCAAACUGGACGCUUCUAUUGUCCUUGGAUUGUGCAUAUUCUUGGAUGAACCAAUGCUGAAACAAUUGGAGGUUGCUUCUAUUGUGCGAUCUGCCAAUAUCUACUUCUCUCGGACAAUGUACAGUGCUGUUGUUAAUUUGUGUACCUAUCUGAAAGAAAGUAACCUAGUUGGAAGCAACACUUCCGUUGAUACCAUGACUAAUGGGCCCAAUAAACCAGCCUUAAAUAUGUCUGCAUCUCUCAAGCUGGACAAACUGAGUUUAAGGGUUGACCUUGAAGACAAUGGCAAGGAAUGUUCACUCAUCACUGUUAGUGUUGGAGAUAUUGACAUCAGGUAUGCUGUGUGGGAAUUGUCAGAACUUUGGAUCAUCACCAAGAUGGUUGAAAUUACUUCCACUGAUCUGAAGAACAAAUCAAAUUCACAUGUGCUAUGUUCAUCAGGAAACUACAAAACUAGCACUUGUGUAGACUUGACAGGUUUUCCUGAAAGUUCUGCUGCCGAGGCUUGCUUAAAGCUGCAUUACAGGACUCACAAAUAUAAUGAUCAAAUACAUCAUGUGUACCAGUUGAACUUAAAUGAUGUUGAUCUGCAUGUUCAUCCAUCUGUAUUUGGUCGGAUAAAGAAGUUUUUGAGCAAUCUUGAUGCAGUAUCUCCAGGUGGCAGUGCUGUUGUGUCCUCAACAAUGGACCAGAGUUCCAUGAAACCUAAGGCAGCCAAUGCCAAAUUUCCUAAGCUUUCAUUGUCAGAUAUCUGUGGAGCAGAGAGCACAUCAUUUGGAGGAGUUUCUGUUGAUCACUUUCCCUUUUUACAUGCUGAUAUCAUAUCUAAUUUCGGAUGUUUAGAAACUCAAGAUGUUGAGGCCUUAGAUAUUACAUCUUCAAAGAGUAAACAGUGUCAUGAGACUUCAGGUUUAAAUGGUUACUCUGCACCAGAGCUUGCAAGCAAUGCACAGUGUAAAAAUGAGCAUACUAGCUGUUCAUCUAACUCACUGAAUAACACAAAUAAUGUCAGCACUACCGUUCUGGAUUUAUCACUUGUUUCGGUUAGAACUCAUUUCCAUGAAUCAUGUGGUAUUUUAGCAACACUCACUGUUCCCGAGUCUAUAGCAACAUUCUCACUGGCAGAUGCAACUUCAUGGGACCUAUUGUUCUCUGCUAAAGAUAUAUUGCUUGCUUCACCGUGGACAUCACCAAGUGUCAGUGAGGUACUCUGGGGGACUUAUUCACAUGGUAAUUCUAAUGUACUCAAUGUCCGUGUCAAAAAGGACUUGUCUGCUCUCUCAACUGAAGUAUGUAUUGCAACCCAAAAUGUUUGUUGUGUAUUACCAACAAAAUUGCUGGCAAUGAUUAUUGGAUAUUUUUUAUUGGAUGAUUGGGAUCCUAUGGUGGAAGAGCAUCACUCUGUGGCAAGUAACAAUCUUGAGUGUUCCGGAGAAUUGCAUGACAGUAUCACCUACAAAAUUGAGAUAUGUGAUUGUGUUAUACUUUUUCCUGUCGAAAAUCAAGAACUUUUUUGUAUAAAACUUGGUGUUCCAUAUUUUUUCUGCGAGUUCAUUCCAACUGGGAUUUCAACAGAAUUUGUCAAGCGUAUUCCCAAAGAAUUCUUGAGUUCAGAAUGUACUCUUUCCAGUAGAGCUGAUGUCAUCAGCCUAUGUUUAAGAGAUGCAUCCAUAUCACUUGUAUUCCUGAAUGAGCAAACGAAAUUUAUCCCGAAGCUUGAUGAGGACAUGCCUGCAAGAAUACACCCUCUUGUGGAAAAGCUUGAUGCCGGUAUAUGGAUUCAAGUUCCUUGCAAAAAACCAUCCUGCACCGAGCAGCCUUUGUUGGCCACUUUCAUUAUGAGCAAAAUAUCAAAAUGCAAUUUGAUUUCUGAAGAUUUGUAUUUUAUGGACGGGAUGGAGACAGUUUUUCGUAUUACUGACGAGUUAACUUCAAUUGUCAAAGAAAGUAAAAUGUACGAAGGCAAUGCCCGUCAGUUUUUAGAACGUAGAAGAUCCAAUGAGGAGAGCGUUGAAUCUAAUGAGCCUAUUAAUAUUACUAUUUCUAUCAAGGAUCUGGUGGUUCUCUUUGGUCACUCAAAAGAUAAAGUUUUGCCAUUGGAGAAGGUUGCCACUGCAAACCUUGAGUUUGAUGUUUCUGCUGUAAUGGUUAAUGAAAAACCUGAGCAUGUUGACAUGGAUAUUGUCUCUUUAGCUCUACACUCAUCUGGUGGCCACACUCUUGUCUCCAUAGUUUCUGAUGGGCCAUCAUCUCCUAUUCUAAUCAAGUUCACAAAGCAUCAUGCUGGGCGAGAUGAGAUAUUAAUUACUGUACCCUUUUUCGAGACCUGGUUAUAUUUAGUUGAUUGGGAUAUCAUUAUCAACCAUUUUCAUUCCUACAUAAGAAAGGAAGACAGCAGUUUGCAUGUGGGGCAUCCAGCAGCUUCACCUCAUUUUUCAGGCUCUGCAAUGUCAUCAUUUCUUGAAUCAGAAUCACAAGACAAUUCUUACUUGGUGGUAACAUGUGAAAAUAUUGCUGUUGUUGUUCAUGUACCUAUCUGGGAGAAAGAGCAAAAUGAGAAUAGCAAUUAUCCAAGGGUUGACGGGAACUCUGGUUCUUAUUUGAUCCACCAUGCAGAUGAUACUCAAUCCAUUGAACCAAGAGGUUGCAAAUUUGUCACCUUAACUUUUGAGAGUAAACAUUUUGUGGUCAUGUUAGGUGAAAGCUGGGUGAAGUUCAAAUGUGAUUUAGAUAGAGUAAAAGUAAUACUGGAGAUGAUCCAAGUGAGCAAGGGUGCCUCUGUUCCGUUCAUGCAUAUAUCUAAGAUUAAAGCUGGUGGCUAUAUUCAUCAAUCAGAAACUGACAUGCUACAUCUUUCUGUUGAUCUACAAGCAGAAUACAUGGAUGUUAGUUUUUCACACCAGAUAUUUAGUUUCUGGCGUAGUAUAGAACUCAGAUUUCCUAAAUCGUCGUCAUCAGCUUCCUCAUUUUGUUCUGUGACAUUGAAGGCGGGAUUAAGAAAAGGUUCUCUCCUGCUAAAUGAUGGAAGGUGGAGCAGUCAUGGGCCUGUUAUAGAGACGUUGGUGAAGAACUUGUCACUGCAAUUUAGUCAAAUGGGUGUUGAGACUGAAGUUUCUGCUUUUGUUGACUUUCUGAUAAAUUACAACAACAUCGACAAGGUUAUGUGGGAACCUUUUAUAGAGCCCUCAAGUUUUCAGUUAAACAUACUUCAAAAAUGUGCUGAUCAUGCACUGGAUGUAUCUCCCAUUACUGAGGUGUCGCUAAAUUCAAGCAAGCAGCUUAAUGUUAAUAUAUCAGAGCCCUUGAUCGAGGCUAUCUUCAGACUUAGUGAGAUGAUCACAGAUUCUCUUAAUCCAAGUAGUGGAGGUGAUCUUCGAGAAGAUCCUGGGAUCGUGAGGUUAAGCCGUGAUGAUGUGCACACCAGGAGAUACGCACCAUAUAUUCUCUCAAAUGACACAUCACUGCCAUUUAGUUUCAAGGUGUAUCGUGGUGCUGUUAAUUCAGAUGACAUUGAUAGUUUCUCUGUAGUAGAUGAGAAUUCUGUGCCGGCAGGAUAUUCUGUCCCGAUAUAUGUUGAAGAAACUCUAGAUGAAUUCUUCUUCCAGCACAGGGAAGCACGAUCAUCUGAACACCUCAUCGAGAAAUGGAUGAGUGCAGUCUCACACUAUAUGAUUUCCAUUGAAUUUGAUGGGACUUCCGGGUCCUCUAAGCCAAUGUCAAUUGACCUUGUGGGCAUUUACUUCUUUGAAGUCAACUUCUCUUCAAGUAAGAAGCCAAUUCUUGGCGAGGAAAGCUUGGAAGCAUUUGGAUCUGGUAGAAAGGGUAGCCAUCAUGAUGGAUUAAUUGUGCCUGUUGUACUCGAUGUUUCCUUGCAGAAUUAUAGCAAACUUGUACGAGUUUACUCAACGGUCAUACUCUUCAAUGCAACAUCAAUGCCCCUUGAGUUGCGGUUUGAUAUACCAUUUGGUGUUUCCUCAAAGGUAAUCGGGCCAAUUCUUCCAAACAAAGAGAUUCCCCUGCCGGUUCAUUUGUCUGAGGCUGGCCAGAUUAGGUGGCAUCCUGUUGGCAGAACUUAUUUGUGGAGUGAAACCCACUCCUUAUCAAGUUUGCUUUCACGUGAAAGCAGGGUGGGUUUUAUGAAAUCAUCUGUGUGCUAUCCUUCUCACCCUAGUAAUGAUCCAUUUCGCUGCUGUGUAUCUGUUGAAGAGUACACUGUCCCUUCAUCUAGUAGUGCCCAGAAAGGUCAGUACUGCACUGACCAUUUGAAUGCACAACCAAUUCUUGGAAAUACUGCUCCAAGGGCUUCUAAGCAGGUUUUAACAAGAACGCAUUUCAUCCGGCAAGUCCGACUUAGUACACCUCUUCUCAUAAAGAACUAUCUCCCUGUGUGUGUAUCUUUGACAAUAGAUAAUGGUGGGGUUGCACAUCAGGUUUCACUUAAGGAGGUGGGUACCGCCUCUAUUUAUUUUGUUGACCCCUCCAACGAUCUUGGAAUCACAUUUCAUAUUCAAGAUUACAGAUCCGUGACCAUAAAGUUUCCCCGUGUGGAAUCGUUCUCUAAUGGAGCCACAUCAAAUGGCUUGAAAUUCUCCUUAACAGAGACGAUCGCGUUCUACUCAAAUGUGUCGAAAUGUCCUUUCAAUGUUAUGCUGGAGAAAGCAACAGAUGCUCAUUCUGGUGCAAGAGAGCUGUGCCUUUCCGUGCCAUUUCUUUUGUACAAUUGCACAGAUCUCUUGCUUACAGUCACAGAAAUCAGCUAUGAGAGGAGCGGGUCCACCCUUUUGAUCCCUUGCAGUUUUGAGUUAGAUGGGCACACAAGACAUGUGCUCGGGAAAAAUGGCCUUUCUCUUGUUUCAGAAGACCCAUCCAUACAGCACUUUGCAAGUAAAAUGCCACAGUUGGAUUUUAUUGAUGGACACAGCUCUCAUUCAAACAGAAGAGUUGCAAAUAACAGUGAGCAUGUGCAGAAAGAAUGUGACAGAGAGGCUAAAGCUUACAUGUUUGCUCCUGCUGGACAUACACCUCCAACUGAACUUUCAGUUAAGCUGAAUGCAUCCGUACCUAAUAGUGGAACUGAAACAACUCGACGAGAUUGGUCGAGUCCAUUUCUCCUUGUCCCUUCCAGUGGUUCAACGAGUCUCACUAUUCCACAAUCAUCUACUUCUAGUGCCUUCUUAAUAGCCGUAACAUCUGUACCUGUUUCGACAGAACUUUUUGGGAGGACAAAGGCUAUUGCUUUCCAGCCGAGAUAUGUAAUUUGUAAUGCAUGCAGCAAUGAUAUGUUCUAUAAACAAAAGGGAACAAGAUUUUCUAAGCAUUUGAGCUCGGGACAACACUCUUUUCUUCACUGGGCUGAUACAGCCAGAGAAUUGCUUGUCUCGAUUCGAUUUGAUGGGCCAGGAUGGCAAUGGUCUGGUAGCUUUUUCCCUGGCCGCCUGGGAGAUGCCCAAGUGAAAAUGAGGAAUAGUGCCUCAGGUGUAUCAAAUAUGGUUCGAGUGGAAGUACAAAAUGCUGAUAUAGACAUACAUAGCAAAAAAAUUGCUGGAAGAAACAAUAGUACUACCGGUACAAUACUGAUUCUGCUGUCUGAUGAUAAGACUGGUUUUGUACCUUACAGGAUUGACAACUUUUCGCUCGAGAAACUGCGGAUAUAUCAGCAGAGAUGUGAAUCUAUUGAAACAAUUGUAUAUCCUUACACAUCAUGUCAAUAUGCCUGGGAUGAACCUUGCUAUCCUCACCGUCUUAUUGUUGAGGUUCCUGGGGAACGGAGUUUGGGUACAUACAGUCUGGAUGUUCUCAGUGAUGAUGUUCAUGUGGCCCUACCUUCCACACCUGAGAAAGCCGAAAGAAAAUUUGGCAUCUCGGUGCAUGCGGAGGGAGCAAUAAAGGUGCUCAGUAUUAUUGAUUCAAAUUGUCACAACACGGACACAAAAGAAGCAGGUGUCCUUGGAUCAAGGGAACCAAAGGAUGCUGAUCACAAACAGGAGAUCGAGUUGAACUUCACUGAAGUUAUCAAAAUACACUUACCAUUCAUGGGCAUAUCUUUGAUAAGCUCUUCUCCUCAGGAAUUGUUGUUUGCUUCUGCCAAGGAUAUGACAUUUGUUGCCAUGCAGAGCUUAGAUCAGCAGCGGAUCACGGUUGAAAUACCAAGUAUGCAAAUUGAUAAUCAAUUCUCUGACAGCCCAUACCCUGUCAUGCUGUCAUUUGAGGGAAGCCACAAGGGAAAAUCGAUUAAUUUUUUGAAGAGUAAAGAUAUCAAGCUGAAAUCUCUAAAUGAGAGUAGAAGUUCUAAUACCCCAGAACCUGUGCUGCGGUUUGCUGCAGUAAAAUGGAGAACUAGAGAUACAUCAUUUCUUUCGUAUCAACGUAUAAACAUCAGUGUAGCACCUUUCUGCCUUGAACUUGAAGAACGACUUGUCCUGAGCAUGAUUGACUUUUUUAGAUCCGUUUCCUCUAGAGUGCAUUUUGGUCUGUUGGAGAAAAGUGUAGACUCAAGUAUUUUAUGUGGUGCUACUGAUAUUUUUGGUGAAUAUGCAAAAAUAUCAAAAAACCUGUCAGACAAGCCCCAAAGCUCCUACACAGUGGACACUGAUCAAGACAAUGGACUGCUGCCGUCUGUUAUCCCGAUUGGUGCACCAUGGCAACAGAUACACCUAUUAGCCAGGAAACAGAAGAAAGUAUAUAUUGAAUUGUUUGAGUUGACUCCUGUCAAGUUAACUUUCAGUUUUACUAGCACUCCAUGGCUCAAUAGGAAUGAAGGUGUCUCAGACCCCAGCACAAGCUUCAACAACAGUACUGCAAUUCAGAGAGGCCUUAUGGCUCUCAUUGACGUUGAAGGAGUACCAGUUCAUCUAGGAGAAAUAAUGGUAGAAAAUCUUAUGGCAAGUUGGCAAUCCAUCCAGGACAUUCUUGUGAGGCACUAUAGCAGGCAGUUGCUUCAUGAACUCUAUAAGGUUUUUGGCUCUGCUGGCGUUAUAGGGAAUCCUAUGGGUUUUGCCAGGAAUGUUGGAUUUGGCUUAAAAGACUUUAUGUCUGCCUCAAGGAAAGGGAAAUUGCAGAGUCCUGUUGAACUAUUAAACGGUAUCGCACAAGGUUCAAAAAAUCUUAUUGGCAGUACGGUUUAUGCAGUCAGUAGCGCCACUUCUCACUUUAGUAAAACUGCCUAUAAGGGCCUUGUUGCGUUUACAUAUGAUGAGCAAACGGCUUCCAAACUGGAUGAACGGGACAGACAGCUAGGUUUGCAUGGGGAAGGAGUGCUGAAUGGGUUUCUAGAGGGUCUGACUGGGCUCCUCCAAUCGCCAAUCAGAGGUGCUGAGAAACAUGGUCUUCCUGGGGUUAUCUCAGGUAUAGCAAUGGGAACAGCUGGGCUUGUGGCUAGGCCUAUGGCCAGUAUUCUUGAAGCCACAGGCAAAACUGCACAGAGCAUAAGAAACCGAAGCAAUCCUCAUGAAUCCAACCGCCUGCGUGUCCGUUUCUCGAGGCCUGUGGCCAGAGAUCGCCCUUUGUUCCCAUACUCCUGGGAAGAAGCAGUUGGAGUAUCUUUGCUUCUCCGAGCUGAUGGUGGCAGGCUGAAGGAUGAGACAUUUGUCGUGUGCAAGACACUCCGAGAGCCCGGAAAGUUCCUUGUGCUUAGUGAGAAACUGCUCCUGCUAGUCUCGAGCCGGUACUUGGUGGAUUUGGGGUCACCCCAGUUUGCUGGUGUUCCUCCUGACCCACAGUGGGCUAUUGAAACUGAGAUGAACCUGAAAUCUAUUGUUCAUCUGGACAGAGCUCAGGAGGUAGUGAACAUUGUUGGGAGCAACGGCGAAACAUCGCCGAGGGACAAAAGAGGCAGAUCAAGAGACAUUGCCCUGAGCUCAGCCUUCAUCCCACUAUUUCAUUUCAGUGUCGAGCUGCCAAGCAUCGAAGAUGCAGAGGGCACGUUGCAGUUCUUAAUGGCACUUAUAGAGAAGGGAAAGGCAAGGAGAUGGGACAAGAACAUCCUUCACCGAAGCAACAUUAGCUGA